CUUGCUUGUGGAUUUUUAUUCACAAUAAUCAUCGUAGAUUUUUUUACGGUAAGGUACAACUUUUAAAAUUAAGAAGGACAAAGCAAUGACUUGAGUAAAUUACGUGUAUUCAGUAUUAUCCAAUUCCAUUUUCGAAGUGUAAAUAAUUGAAAACGAAAGUACUUUAAAAAGUUUAUCAACUAGACCAACCGCAUCAACUCAUAACUGACACCUUGCUUGCGUAGUACUCACCACAACUGUUUUGCCACCUACCAUAUAUUUAGUAAACAAGCCAAAUUAAAGAACCAUACUUGUAGCGAAAGAUGUAAUAAGUCAAUAUUGAUAAACAGUUGACAGUUUAAAAAGAAAAAUAACUUAUACACAAUCAUCCAGAAAUGAGAUUUGAAGUUCAUAUUGUUCCUUUAAACAAUCUUUUAUAAAAUUUGUAUUAUCAAUUUUUUUUUGUUAACAAAUUUGACUCAAAUUCUCAUAUUUGAUUUAUAACAUACGUAUAUCUAAAUUAUAAAAAGUCUAAAAAAUACAGUUUACACUGCAUGGGAUUGAUAAUAUGUAUCAACAUUUUGUGUAGAUUUUAGUCAAAACGACAUCUAAUUGACCAUUCAGGUGGUCUCCAAAGACUGUCGACGGUCAAAUAACCCGACGUAUACAUAAAUAUAGAUAUAAAUAGAAAGUAAACUCGUGUUAUUGGGUUUUCUAGGUCUGUUUGGUUUCAUAUUAUAGGUUUAACAUACAUAUUUCAUUUGGUGUAGCAUUCUCCUGUUUUUAUUGGAUAUCACGAUGAAUAAAAUUUCAUGUCUUUGAGGCCUUGUUUCUAUUUUUAUUGGCAAUAUGUUUCUGUAUUUAUUGACGCUAUGUUUCUAUUUAUACGAAUAUUGACGGUCAAUAUUAAAAUCUGUCAAGUUAAUCUUAUUCAUUGAUAUUUUCAAAAGUAUGUUUAAAAGUAUAUUGAAUUUCCCAAUACAUUAUUUACGUAUUUCAUAUAUAAAUAAAGGACGUUCAUCCAGUCAAUACGUUAUAUAUGGACAUUGUUCUCGGUCAAUAUAAUCAAAACAGGUUCAUAGAUAACGUAUCGACCUCGUCGAAAGUCCACAAUUGAUAAAUACUAAUCAUCGUUUUUACCUGUAUGAGAAUAUGUUUUUGUAUCCUUUUAAUUACUGAACACGACUUACCAAUGCGUAAACCUUCUCUAGCUAAGGGGUCAAAUUGAAGGUCAUAUAGAUAUGGAUUCAAUGAGGUCGAAUUAUACACUUACAAGCGAUUAAUUCACCAGCAUGUUUCUUGUCUUCGUUUGACACAACUGUCUCAACCUGGCUGCUAAAAGCGAAUUACUAUUUCACUAUUUCUCUUUCAUUAAUGAUUCAACCAAAAAACAUCAUAUUUUAUGUUUUGUUUAUAUCUCGUAGCUAAUGCCCCUUAAGCUGUUUAUGAUGACUGUAUGCUUCUUUUUUUUUUAUAGAUUUAAUCAUAAUAUGGCCACGCCUGACAUCCAGUUUUGUAGCUUAUGUAAAGAAGACGACAUCAACAAUGAAGCAAUCACAUGGUGCACGGAAUGCGAUACGUUUCUGUGCUUGGACUGUGACAAACACCAUUCAAGAAAUAAAUCAUCAAAACAGCACAAAACCCUCCCAUCAAACGAC
Molecule: long non-coding RNA, 1637 nt
Filed under: Mytilus galloprovincialis (Mediterranean mussel)
Lineage: Eukaryota; Metazoa; Mollusca; Bivalvia; Mytilida; Mytilidae
Source: RNAcentral